Small nuclear RNA from Anastrepha obliqua, 125 nucleotides. RefSeq annotates it as U4 spliceosomal RNA. Lineage: Eukaryota; Metazoa; Arthropoda; Insecta; Diptera; Tephritidae. The record is from RefSeq and is a predicted model, not a curated record. The transcript has a single exon.
CGCUUUCCUAAGAGGCGAUAUCGCAACCAAUGAGGUUCUACCGAGGUGCGAUUAUUGCUAGUUGAGUUUUCAAGUUAAAUCUCGCUUUUUCUCUGAUCUUAAAUUCUUGGAGUUUUUGAGCUAAA